GGUGAAUGCUAGCGGUGCGCCUAACACAUGCAAGUCGAACGGCACCCACCUCCGGGUGGAAGCGAGUGGCGAACGGCUGAGUAACACGUGGAGAACCUGCCCCCUCCCCCGGGAUAGCCGCCCGAAAGGACGGGUAAUACCGGAUACCCCGGGGUGCCGCAUGGCACCCCGGCUAAAGCCCGACGGGAGGGGAUGGCUCCGCGGCCCAUCAGGUAGACGGCGGGGUGACGGCCCACCGUGCCGACAACGGGUAGCCGGGUUGAGAGACCGACCGGCCAGAUUGGGACUGAGACACGGCCCAGACUCCUACGGGAGGCAGCAGGGGGGAAUCUUGCGCAAUGGGGGGAACCCUGACGCAGCGACGCCGCGCGCGGGACGGAGGCCUUCGGGUCGUAAACCGCUUUCAGCAGGGAAGAGUCAAGACUGUACCUGCAGAAGAAGCCCCGGCUAACCACGUGCCAGCCGCCGCCGUAA
RNAcentral lists this ribosomal RNA (474 nucleotides) under uncultured bacterium. Its description in RNAcentral is "partial 16S ribosomal RNA". It matches the Rfam family "Bacterial small subunit ribosomal RNA", at positions 28 to 523 of the family's 1533-position model. The record is from RNAcentral.